GUGGGGCUAGCCGGCAGAGUUGGCGUGGGGUCUCUGUCCUGAGCGGUUCCACGAUGUCGAAGGUUUCCCUUAAGAUCACGCUGACGUCAGACCCGCGGCUCCCUUACAAAGUACUCAGUGUUCCUGAAAGUACCCCUUUCACAGCAGUCUUAAAGUUUGCAGCGGAAGAAUUUAAAAUUCCUGCAGCAACAAGUGCAAUUAUUACCAAUGAUGGAAUAGGAAUAAAUCCUGCACAGAAUGCUGGAAAUGUUUUUCUAAAGCAUGGUUCAGAACUGCGAAUUAUUCCAAGAGAUCGUGUUGGAAGUUGUUAAUAUCCACUACUUGGAGCAUAGGAUUACCUUUCAAAAUAAAUAUUGGUAUUGUUGUUAUAAAACUGAAAUCAGGUGUUUAAAAUACUAUGAAAACAGCAAUUGUUGAUGAAAUAAUGAAAGGAGACUCUCCGUCCCUUCUUGUUAUUCACACUGUUCAUGUGAAGAGGGAAGGCUUAAGCAUUGAGGAUAUCAUCACCACAGAAGAUCAUAGUCUUUCAUUGCUCCCUCACAACACACACGGGUAGUUCAUUUGGGGUAAAUGGAUUAUCCAACUGUGUUUUAUAACUGGAGGAUGCUUCUGAUCAUUCUUUCUGAGAACAUGUGGAAAAUUAAAAUUUACUGAAUCUUCCUAUUUGUCUUUGAGUUAAAAAUUUAAAAGGAUUAUGGAUCGUACGUGG
Non-coding RNA from Ceratotherium simum simum (southern white rhinoceros), 709 nucleotides. NCBI's taxonomy places the organism in Eukaryota, Metazoa, Chordata, Mammalia, Perissodactyla, Rhinocerotidae. The record is from RefSeq and is a predicted model, not a curated record.